RNAcentral lists this ribosomal RNA (497 nucleotides) under uncultured bacterium. RNAcentral's name for it is "partial 16S ribosomal RNA". It matches the Rfam family "Bacterial small subunit ribosomal RNA", at positions 28 to 507 of the family's 1533-position model. The record is from RNAcentral.
GAUGAACGCUGGCGGCGUGCCUAAUACAUGCAAGUCGAGCGAACAGACGAGGAGCUUGCUCCUCUGACGUUAGCGGCGGACGGGUGAGUAACACGUGGAUAACCUACCUAUAAGACUGGGAUAACUUCGGGAAACCGGAGCUAAUACCGGAUAAUAUAUUGAACCGCAUGGUUCAAUAGUGAAAGACGGUUUUGCUGUCACUUAUAGAUGGAUCCGCGCCGCAUUAGCUAGUUGGUAAGGUAACGGCUUACCAAGGCGACGAUGCGUAGCCGACCUGAGAGGGUAAACGGCCACACUAGAACUGAGACACGGUCCAGACUCCUACGGGAGGCAGCAGUAGGGAAUCAACCGCAAUGGGCGAAAGCCUGACGGAGCAACGCCGCGUGAGUGAUGAAGGUCUUCGGAUAGUAAAACUCUGUUAUUAGGGAAGAACAAAUGUGUAAGUAACUAUGCACGUCUUGACGGUACCUAAUCAGAAAGCCACGGCUAAAUACGUG